This 69-nucleotide transfer RNA is filed under the name Hemisphaerius rufovarius. RNAcentral's name for it is "tRNA-Lys". The record is from RNAcentral. Lineage: Eukaryota; Metazoa; Arthropoda; Insecta; Hemiptera; Issidae.
CAUUAAGUGACUGAAAUUUAAGUAAUGGUCUCUUAAACCAAAAUAUAGUAUUUAUUAUACUCUUAAUGA